ACAGCCACACCAGACCUGAGCCACAUCUGUGACCUACACCACAGGUCACAGCAAUGCCGGAUCCUUAACCCACUGAGCGAGGCCAGGGAUAGAAUUUGCAUGUUCAUGGAUAAUAGCUGGGUUCGUUAUCGAGGAGACACAAUGGGAGCUCCAGGCCUCUCUCGAUUUAAUGGCCUUCCUGUAUCGAUGUUCAUACAUGAGAGAGUUUAACUGCUAUUUUUAUGGGAGACGGUUCUGGGAUUCAGACGUGCAGAUUUUUUAUAUUUAAAAAAAAAAGUUUUUUUAGAACAGGCGAUAUACAAAGAUACACUCCAGGGAUUAUCUUUUUAUAAACCCUGGCCCUGGUGUUCUGUGGGAAAGUUACUUAUUUAGCCUGUGUUUCUUUCACUGAGGCAGACUGAUUCCGGGAUUUGGCAGCUCCAUGAAAAGUCCAAGUCGAUACUAUAUUUAUUUCAUCAAUAUCUAUUCUUGGCGAUACAGUGUUUUGAGCUUGACUUGAUACUGAUGUUGCCUUUCUUGCCCUCUUCCUUUGUCUCUGGCUGAUGUGACCCGCUCAUCUCAGUUUUUUAUUUUGCCUUUUAGGGCCACACCUGCAGCAUAUGGGGGUUCCCAGCCUAGGGGUUGAAUCAGAGCUUCACCUGCCAGCCUACACCACAGCCACAGCAACGCCAGACCCGAGCCUCAUCUGCGACCAACACCGCAGCUCACGGCAAUGCUGGAUCCUUAACCCACUGAGCGAGGCCAGGGAUUGAACCUGCAUCCUCAUGGAUACUAGUUGGGUUCGUUACCGCUGAGCCUCACAGGAACUCUCCUUCUGUGUUAUUUUAUAUUUAUUAAAUGUGUGCAUUUUUAUGGAGGCUCAAUUUACAUGUAGUCAAAUGCCCACGUCUUGACUGCGAUGCUUGGUAACUUUUUAGACAGGCACAUGGUCAAGUAACUAGCACUCAGAUCAAAAGGUACACAACACUUCCAUCACCACACAAAGCUGCCAAACCCUAACCAGUCAACAACCUCCUCUCCGAGGUGCCUGAUAUUCUGGAUGGUACCUCCAAUUUAGCUGGGCAUGACAUACAAUUUGAUGCAAGCGUUUCUCACACAGUAUGUAUGUAUUUUGGUUCUCUUUUACACAGCACAUUUUUAGCAUUCAUCAACAUGGUCACAUAUACUGCUUAUUUCUUUUCUUUUCUAAGCAAUAUUCCAUUGUUUGAAUAUAGGAAAGUUUCCUUAUUUUCUAAAUGAUGGCUGUUUCCUUUGUUUUUAAUCCUGCUAAUUUUCUAUCUUCCUUUUUUUUUUUUUUUUUUUUUUUUUCUUUUUUGGGCCAUACCUGUGACAUACGGAAGUUCUGAGACCAGGGGUUGAACUGGUGCUGCAGCUGAGGCCCCCGGCACAGCCAGAACAACCCCGGAUCUCAGCCACAUCUGAAACCUGUGCCACAGCUUGUGGCAAUGCUGGAUCCUUACCUGAGCAAGACCAGGAAUUGCCCCUGAAUCCUCGUGGAGGCAUCAGGUUCUUAACCCGCUAGCCACAACAGGAACUCCUAUAUCUUCUAAAUAACUCUUUUCGUAAAGAAAUGCUUAAUUUCUUUUGGAUAUAUAUGUAGGAGUGAACCUGCCUGAUCAUUUGGUGAGGAUUUAUUUAAUAAUGUCAGAGACAAAUAAUUUUCCCAAGUGUGUCACUUUAUAAUCCCAUCAACAAAGUAUGAGACUUCCAGUUACUCUAUAUCUUUGCCAAUACUUCAUGUUGUUAUUUCAAAAAAUAAUUUAGCCAUUCUGCUGGGUAUGUUCUGGUUUGUCCUUGUGAUUUUACUUUUGAUAGGCCCCAGUUGGUGAUGAAAUAUUGUUUUUAACAUAUCAUCGAAUUUGCUAUUGUUUUAUUAGGAUGUUUCUACUUAUAUUCAUGAGAGAUAUUGGUAUAAUUCACUUUCUCCUGCAAAGUCCUUGGUAUCAAGGGUCAGGUGGCCUCAUAAAGAGAGAAAGGAAUCCUUCUUUCUAUAGUUUCUUAAAGAAUAUGUGUAUGGUUGUAUCAUUAAUUAACGGUUAGUUCACUAGCACAACAGUUGAAUUGUUAAGUGUUUUGUUUUGUUUUGUUUUGCUUUUUAGGGCCACACCUGUGGCACAUGGAGGUUCCCAGGUUAGGGGUUGAAUCAGAGCUGUAGUUGCUGGCCUAAGCCACAGCCACAGCCACACCAGAUCCAAGCCAUGUCUGCAACCUACACCAUAGCUCAUGGUAAUGCUGGAUCCUUAACCCACUGAGCAAGGCCAGGGAUCGAACCCACAACUUCAUGGUUCCUACUAGGAUUCAUUUCCGCUGCGCCACGACGGGAACUCCAUGCUUUUAGACUUUUUGAUGAUGGCCAUUCUGGCCGGUGUAAGGUGGUACCUCAUGGGUUGGUGCUUUCUCUGUUGGAGCUGAGUCUCUGACCUGCUCCUGCCCUCGCACCUCACGGCUCUUGGUUCUCAGGUCAUGCAUUUUGGACUGAACUACAGCACGGCUUUCUGGGAAGCCAGCUUGUGGGUGGCAGAUCCUGGGACCUCUCGGCCUCCAUUGCUCAUGCACCUACCCCUCACGAUCCACCUGAUUCUGUGUGUGUGCGCACGCGAGCGCAUGCAUGUGCACGUGUGCCCUCUGAGGUUCUGUUCUCUGGAGAGCCCCGACUCCAGCAUCAUCUUGUCCAGUUACAUCUUCUACUGAACCUGUCACUUGAGGGUCUUUUCGUUUCAGCAACUGUACUUCACAUCUCCAGUUCUUUUUAAAA
Molecule: long non-coding RNA, 2755 nt
Filed under: Sus scrofa (pig)
Lineage: Eukaryota; Metazoa; Chordata; Mammalia; Artiodactyla; Suidae
Description: lncRNA (ENSSSCG00000060063.1)
Source: RNAcentral